Molecule: long non-coding RNA, 831 nt
Filed under: Rattus norvegicus (Norway rat)
Lineage: Eukaryota; Metazoa; Chordata; Mammalia; Rodentia; Muridae
Description: long non-coding RNA NONRATT026499
Source: RNAcentral
CCCCUUUCCUAGGUCCUUCUUGCCAAGGUCUGCAGCGUGAUUUUUUUCUUAUGAGACAAGGUCUCACUGUGUAACUCUUGCUGGCCUGAGGCUCACUGUGGAGAUGAAGCUAGCCUUGAACUCUGGAGUGCUGGGGUCAAAAGUGAUGCGGCACUUCAAAACCCCCAGCACGCAUGAAAGUCUUCCUUCGUCAGGACACUCCCUUGUCACACGACCUCCACAACCUCCACGUUUCUACUCCUGUUUUCCAUUUGUAUUCCCAGCGCUCGUUCUCUCUCCCUCCCUCUCAUUUCUGUGUGUGUGCCCUCACAUGCGUGCACCAUGGUGUAUAUGUGGAGGUCAAAGGUCAAGUUGUGGGCCUGGAGAGGUGCCCCAAGGCUUAAGAGCGCUGGCCGCUCUGGCAGAGGAUCUCGGUUCAAUCCCAAGUAUCCACAUGGCUCACGGGUACCUGGAACAAGCUCUGACUAGAUCUUAUGCCCUCUUCUGAGCUCCUCGAGCACCUGCACACAUGGGUACAGACGCAUGGGUACAGACCGGCCAGCCAAGUACUAAUCCAUGUUAAUAAAAACAAACACAAAGAGGACAAUCCUAAAUUCUUUAAAAAGUAACAGAGGUGCAAGGAGGUUGCGGUGCCGGGAGGUGGCGGUGCACAUCUUUAAUCCCAGCAGAGGUGGGCUGCUCUGUGUUCCUGGGAAAGCCAGGGCUACACAGAAAAAACGCUGACUUGAAAAAUAAACAGGGGCUGGGGAUUUAGCUCAGUGGUAGAGCGCUUACCUAGGAAGCGCAAGGUCCUGGGUUCGGUCCCCAGCUCCGAAAAAAAAGAACCAAAAA